Arabis alpina (gray rockcress) is the source of this 170-nucleotide small nuclear RNA. It matches the Rfam family "U1 spliceosomal RNA". Rfam says of the family: U1 is a small nuclear RNA (snRNA) component of the spliceosome (involved in pre-mRNA splicing). The record is from Rfam. NCBI's taxonomy places the organism in Eukaryota, Viridiplantae, Streptophyta, Magnoliopsida, Brassicales, Brassicaceae.
AUGCUUGGUUCUGGGAUGUUACAUCGACUCUUGAUCAAGAAGAAGAGUGGCCUAGGCUAGUGACUUCCAUUGCACUAUAAGGACGGGUGAUAUGCUUAAGGUCUUCCCAAGUGGAAGAGCCUGCGUCAUUAUUUGUGGCAGAGGGGGUUUUGCGUUCGCGCAGCCCCUUU